Molecule: ribosomal RNA, 280 nt
Filed under: uncultured Eubacteriales bacterium
Lineage: Bacteria; Bacillati; Bacillota; Clostridia; Eubacteriales
Description: uncultured Clostridiales bacterium partial 16S ribosomal RNA
Rfam family: Bacterial small subunit ribosomal RNA (bases 42-280)
Source: RNAcentral
AUGGAUGGAAUCUUCGGAGGAAAGAAAUGAUGGAAAGCGGCGGACGGGUGAGUAACGCGUAGGUAACCUGCCCCAUACAGAGGGAUAGCCACUGGAAACGGUGAUUAAUACCUCAUGACACUUUCUCUUCGCAUGGAGGGAAGGUCAAAGAUUUAUCGGUAUGGGAUGGACCUGCGUCUGAUUAGCUUGUUGGUGGGGUAACGGCCCACCAAGGCGACGAUCGGUAGCCGGACUGAGAGGUUGAACGGCCACAUUGGGACUGAGACACGGCCCAGACUCC